RNAcentral lists this ribosomal RNA (1837 nucleotides) under metagenome. RNAcentral describes it as "bacterial LSU rRNA". It matches the Rfam family "Bacterial large subunit ribosomal RNA", at positions 100 to 2105 of the family's 2925-position model. The record is from RNAcentral.
UUACCCGGGGAUCUCCGAAUGGGGAAACCCACGGCUUCGGCCGUAUUACAUAAUGAAUACAUAGUUAUGUAAAGCAAACCCGGCGAAUUGAAACAUCUUAGUAGCCGGAGGAAAGGACAUCAACCGAGACUCCGUUAGUAGUGGCGAGCGAACGCGGAUCAGGCCAGUCUUUUAUAAAAUGAAAGCAGAACUGUCUGGAAAGGCAGGCUAUAAUGGGUGAUAGCCCCGUAUGCGUACAUCAUUUAAUAAAAGCUCGAGUAGGGCGGGACACGUGAAAUCCUGUCUGAACGUGGGGGGACCACCCUCCAAGCCUAAGUACUCCUUUGUCACCGAUAGCGAACUAGUACCGUGAGGGAAAGGUGAAAAGUACCCCUAUUAGGGGAGUGAAACAGAACCUGAAACCGAAUGCCUACAAGCAGUCGAAGCCUCCUUGAGAGGUGACGGCGUACCUUUUGUAUAAUGGGUCAGCGAGUUACUCUACGCAGCAAGCUUAAACCGUUAGGUGUAGGCGUAGCGAAAGCGAGUCUUAAUAGGGCGAUUUAGUUGCUUGGAGUAGACCCGAAACCGGGUGAUCUAGCUAUGAGCAGGUUGAAGGUGCGGUAACACGCACUGGAGGACCGAACCCACGUCUGUUGAAAAAGACGGGGAUGACUUGUUGCUAGGGGUGAAAGGCCAAUCAAACCCGGAGAUAGCUGGUUCUCCGCGAAAACUAUUUAGGUAGUGCGUUGUGUAUCACCAUCGGGGGUAGAGCACUGGAUGGGCUAGGGGGGAGCUAAUCCUUACCAAACCUAACCAAACUCCGAAUACCGAUGAGUGCAGCACAGCAGACAGACAUUGGGUGCUAAGGUCCAAUGUCGAAAGGGAAACAGCCCAGACCGCCAGCUAAGGUCCCCAAGUCAUGGCUAAGUGGCAAAGGAUGUGAGAAGUCCAAAACAGCCAGGAGGUUGGCUUAGAAGCAGCCAUCCUUUAAAGAUAGCGUAACAGCUCACUGGUCUAAAUAAGAUUUCUUGCGCCGAAGAUGUAUCGGGGCUAAAGCCAUGCACCGAAGCUGCGGAUGUGAUUUAUUUCACAUGGUAGCGGAGCGUUCCGUAAGCCAGUGAAGGGUUACCGCGAGGUAGCCUGGAGGUAUCGGAAGUGAGAAUGCUGACACGAGUAGCGAUAAACAGUGUGAGAGACACUGUCGCCGAAAAUCCAAGGGUUCCUGCGUAAAGCUAAUCUGCGCAGGGUGAGCCGGCCCCUAAGGCGAGGGCGAAAGCCGUAGUCGAUGGGAACCAGGUUAAUAUUCCUGGGCCUGCUGGAAGUGACGAAUGCCGUAAAUUGUAAGAACUUAUUGGAUUGUUCUUGCAGUGAAGGUGUUCCAGGAAAUAACUCCAGCUUAUAGACCGUACUCUAAACCGACACAGGUGGAUUGGUAGAGAAUACCUAGGCGCUUGAGAGAACGAUGUUGAAGGAACUCGGCAAAAUGCCCCCGUAACUUCGGGAGAAGGGGGACCCGCUCUUGGGCAACCAGGAGAGGGUGGCACAGAAUAGGGGGUGGCGACUGUUUACUAAAAACACAGGACUCUGCAAACUCGUAAGAGGACGUAUAGGGUCUGACGCCUGCCCGGUGCCGGAAGGUUAAGAGGAGGAGUGCAAGCUUUGAAUUGAAGCCCCGGUAAACGGCGGCCGUAACUAUAACGGUCCUAAGGUAGCGAAAUUCCUUGUCGGGUAAGUUCCGACCCGCACGAAUGGCGCAACGACUUCCCCACUGUCUCCAACAUCGACUCAGCGAAACUGAAUUCUCCGUGAAGAUGCGGAGUACGCGUGGUCAGACGGAAAGACCCCGUGCACCUUUACU